CCUCUCCUUCUUCCCACAGUUUAUGGGGUGGUUGAUAAUUCAUUAUAUCUUUUAAGAAGCUGUCUCAGCCCUACCUGAGAUCUGGGGGUGCUGCUGGGUUCAAGAAAGAGCUACUUACUUCAUACAGAAAAGGGUUGCCUUUUGAAUGCAACACCUUGGAUUACUUCACUUCAGGAGGUGAGUGGCCAUUUAUUGGUCAGGAAAAUGGGAGUGUCUUCAGAGAAAAAUGAAGAGUGGGAAAGAAACAAGACAGAGCAGCAUCACUCUUUUGCAGCUCUAGGAAUCUGGAGAAAACAAAAGACGGAGUACCUGCACUUUUAUUCAAUUGUAUAAUAUACACUGCUUGGUUUUGAAGCAUCCUUUACUUCUCUGUUUCCUUCUCUGUUUAUUUUUCUCUCAUCUUCAUCCAGAAUGUCUCCUCCUCUUCCCAGAGGACUUCAACUGAACCAAUUCUCUUUUCUGAUUUCAUUCUCCCUCCUCUCGCAUACUUAUUGUCCCAAAGUUCUUCCUUGCUUUCCUUUUGCUCAGGGAGAAUAUUUGUUGUAGCAUAAUGUGUGUGUUUGUAUUAGUAUUCCUGACAGAGGGAAUCUAACCUGAGCAAGGAUAAGUGAGUAAGUGAGUUUAGAACUUUACUGGAAAAAGAUUUUUCCUUUUCCUAAAAUUUUAGGAAAUACAUGGUGGGGAUAGGCAAAGUCUCAUACCUAGCUCACUACACCAUGCAGAGAAAGGAAGCUACCUAAGAUUAGCAAACUCCGAGGCAAAGAGCAGGCAAGGUGAGGGACAAAUCCCUCGCUCUCUGUGUACAUCCCAUUUCCCCUUGUGGUCAGUAGAUUGUGAGGCACUGAAGAGUCAAUCUCACUUCCGAGGAAAGAGCAUACGUUCCCAAUAGAAGAUCUUCUCUCUGUGCCCAAUUGUUUUCAAGUAAAACUUGAAGGUUAUGCCCGAGACCUUGGAGACCCAACAAGUAUAGAAAAGUAUAGAGGAGAUGGUUCAGUGCUUCUCCAUCUUUCUUGCAUUUCUUCUCUUUUCCAUUGUUGGAAGAUCUGUCCCCCAAGCCAGGAACUACAUAUAGAAUGUGAGAUAGGGACCAAGCUUGGUUCUGUCCCUUUGCCUUCUUUCCCUGGUAAACCCACCUUCUCCAGUGUGUGUGUGUGUGUGUGUGUGUGUGUGGAGAGAACCCUAAGAUGUACUGUCCUCUUUGCUGUCUAUAUGCAUGAAUACUGUGGAAUAAUAUUAAUCCAUGCCAACGAUUACUAUUAAUAAUUUUCACAAUUGCAUAAGAAACAAAAAUUAAACCAAAAUAUCACUGAACAUCUUAGAAGAAUCACAAAGUUGUCCUGCAGAUACUUUAUAGAAUGGGAAUGUGCUAUUUUUAGUAGGACUGAAAACAAAGUCAG
Candoia aspera is the source of this 1397-nucleotide long non-coding RNA. RefSeq lists it as uncharacterized. NCBI's taxonomy places the organism in Eukaryota, Metazoa, Chordata, Lepidosauria, Squamata, Candoiidae. The transcript has 2 exons. The record is from RefSeq and is a predicted model, not a curated record.